Molecule: ribosomal RNA, 406 nt
Filed under: uncultured bacterium
Lineage: Bacteria
Description: partial 16S ribosomal RNA
Rfam family: Bacterial small subunit ribosomal RNA
Source: RNAcentral
AUUGAACGCUGGCGGCAGGCCUAACACAUGCAAGUCGAACGAGUGGCGGACGGGUGAGUAAUGUCUGGGAAACUGCCCGAUGGAGGGGGCUAACUACUGGAAACGGUAGCUAAUACCGCAUACCAUCGGAUGUGCCCAGAUGGGAUUAGCUAGUAGGUGGGGUAACGGCUAACCUGAGCGACGAUCCCUAGCUGGUCUGAGAGGAUGCCCAGCCACCCUGGAACGCAGACACGGUCCAGACUCCUACGGUAGGCAUCAGUGUGGAAUAUUGCACAAUGAGCUCAAGCCUGAUGCAGCCAUGCCGCGUGUAUGAAGAAGUCCUUCGGGUUGUAAAGUACGUUCAGCGAGGAGGCGUUACUCGCAGAAGAAGCACCGGCUAACUCCGUGCCAGCAGCCGCGGUAAUAG